GACGAACGCUGGCGGCGUGCUUAACACAUGCAAGUCGAACGGAAAGGCCCUGCUUUUGUGGGGUGCUUGAGUGGCGAACGGGUGAGUAACACGUGAGUAACCUGCCCUUGACUUUGGGAUAACUUCAGGAAACUGGGGCUAAUACCGGAUAGGAGCUCCUGCUGCAUGGUGGGGGUUGGAAAGUUUCGGCGGUUGGGGAGGGACUCGCGGCUUAUCAGCUUGUUGGUGGGGUAGUGGCUUACCAAGGCUUUGACGGGUAGCCGGCCUGAGAGGGUGACCGGCCACAUUGGGACUGAGAUACGGCCCAGACUCCUACGGGAGGCAGCAGUGGGGAAUAUUGCACAAUGGGCGGAAGCCUGAUGCAGCAACGCCGCGUGCGGGAUGACGGCCUUCGGGUUGUAAACCGCUUUCGCCUGUGACGAAGCGUGAGUGACGGUAAUGGGUAAAGAAGCACCGGCUAACUACGUG
RNAcentral lists this ribosomal RNA (468 nucleotides) under uncultured bacterium. RNAcentral's name for it is "partial 16S ribosomal RNA". It matches the Rfam family "Bacterial small subunit ribosomal RNA", at positions 28 to 507 of the family's 1533-position model. The record is from RNAcentral.